AGUGAACGCUGGCGGCAGGCCUAACACAUGCAAGUCGAGCGGAUGAAGGGAGCUUGCUCCUGGAUACAGCGGCGGACUGGUGAGUAAUGCCGAGGAACCUGCCUGGUAGUGUGGGAUAACGUCCGGAAACGGGCGCUAAUACGGCAUACGUCCUGAGGGAGUACGUGGGGGAUCUUCGGACCUCACGCUCUCGGAUGAGCCUAGGUCGGAUUAGCUAGUUGGUGGGGUAAAGGCCUACCAAGGCGACGAUCCGUAACUGGUCUGAGAGGAUGAUCAGUCACACUGGAACAGAGACACGGUCCAGACUCCUACGGGAGGCAGCAGUGGGGAAUAUUGGACAAUGGGCGAAAGCCUGAUCCAGCCAUGCCGCGUGUGUGAAGAAGGUCUUCGGAUUGUAAAGCACUUUAAGUUGGGAGGAAGAGCAGUAAGUUAAUACCUUGCUGUUUUGACGUUACCAACAGAAUAAGCACCGGCUAACUUCGUG
Molecule: ribosomal RNA, 484 nt
Filed under: uncultured bacterium
Lineage: Bacteria
Description: partial 16S ribosomal RNA
Rfam family: Bacterial small subunit ribosomal RNA
Source: RNAcentral